RNAcentral lists this non-coding RNA (29 nucleotides) under Mus musculus (house mouse). The record is from RNAcentral. Lineage: Eukaryota; Metazoa; Chordata; Mammalia; Rodentia; Muridae.
UAUUGUUAAUGAUUGGCUUUGAAAGGUAG